This 396-nucleotide ribosomal RNA is filed under the name uncultured bacterium. RNAcentral's name for it is "partial 16S ribosomal RNA". It matches the Rfam family "Bacterial small subunit ribosomal RNA", at positions 523 to 918 of the family's 1533-position model. The record is from RNAcentral.
AUACGUAGGUGACAAGCGUUAUCAGGAUUUACUGGGUGUAAAGGGAGCGUAGACGGCGAAGCAAGUCUGAAGUGAAAGGACGGGGCCCAACCCCGGAACUGCUUUGGAAACUGUUUGGCUGGAGUGCGGGAGGGGUAAGCGGAAUUCCUCGUGUAGCGGUGAAAUGCAUAGAUAUUAGGAGGAACACCGGGUGGGACGGCGGUUUACUGGCCCGUAACUGACGUUGAUGCGCGAAGGCGUGGGGAGCAAACAGGAUUAGAUGCCCUGGUAGUCCACGCGGUAAGCGAUGCUCACUAGGUGUUCGUGUGUAUGACCCAUGGGUGCUGCAGCCAACGCACUAAGUGAUCCACCUGGGGAGAAAGUUCGCCAUAACGAAGAUCAAAGAAAUUGACGGGG